GAGGCAGCAGUGAGGAAUAUUGGUCAAUGGCCGAGAGGCUGAACCAGCCAAGUCGCGUGAAGGAAGAAGGAUUAUGGUUUGUAAACUUCUUUUAUAGGGGAAUAAGUGGAGGACGUGUCCUUUUUUGUAUGUACCCUAUGAAUAAGCAUCGGCUAACUCCGUGCCAGCAGCCGCGGUAAUACGGAGGAUGCGAGCGUUAUCCGGAUUUAUUGGGUUUAAAGGGUGCGUAGGUGGUGAUUUAAGUCAGCGGUGAAAGUUUGUGGCUCAACCAUAAAAUUGCCGUUGAAACUGGGUUACUUGAGUGUGUUUGAGGUAGGCGGAAUGCGUGGUGUAGCGGUGAAAUGCAUAGAUAUCACGCAGAACUCCGAUUGCGAAGGCAGCUUACUAAACCAUAACU
RNAcentral lists this ribosomal RNA (397 nucleotides) under uncultured bacterium. Its description in RNAcentral is "bacterial SSU rRNA". It matches the Rfam family "Bacterial small subunit ribosomal RNA", at positions 345 to 741 of the family's 1533-position model. The record is from RNAcentral.